AAACGCGAAUAAUUAUAUUUUUAAUUAAUGUAAAUAUAAUUAAAGAAAAACUUUAAAAACUCCUCGCGUGGUUGCACACUUUUUCAUUUUAGUACUAUAUAAUUUAAAGUGUAUCAAGUUAGUACCAUAUGGUUUCUCACUUUAUCAUUUUAGUACCCUAUAGUCUAAAGUGUAUCAAGUUUAUUUUCUGUGGUUUUAUUUUUGUAUCAAGUUGGUUUUCUGUGGUUUUAUUUUUUUAUCAAGUUAGUACCCUGUGGAUUUAUUUUUUUAUCAAAUUAGUACCCUGUGGUUUUUAAACCACAUGGUACUAAAGUGAUAAAAUGCGAACCACAGGGUACUAAAGUGAUAAAGUGAAAAAACCACAGGGAACUAACUUGAUACACUUUAAACCACAGGGUACUAAAAUGAUAAAGUGAAAAAACCACAGGAUACUAACUUUAUACAUUUUAAACUAUAGGAUACUAAAAUAAAAAAAGUGAAACCACAAGGAGGGUAUUUGAAGUUUUUCCUAUAAUUAAAUAUGCAUAUAAUUUAAUACACUGCAGCUA
This 548-nucleotide long non-coding RNA is filed under the name Ananas comosus (pineapple). RNAcentral describes it as "long non-coding RNA (ACOM_LNC002759)". Lineage: Eukaryota; Viridiplantae; Streptophyta; Magnoliopsida; Poales; Bromeliaceae. The record is from RNAcentral.